Molecule: Y RNA, 102 nt
Filed under: Microcebus murinus (gray mouse lemur)
Lineage: Eukaryota; Metazoa; Chordata; Mammalia; Primates; Cheirogaleidae
Description: Y RNA (ENSMICG00000041888.1)
Rfam family: Y RNA
About the family: Y RNAs are components of the Ro ribonucleoprotein particle (Ro RNP), in association with Ro60 and La proteins. The Y RNAs and Ro60 and La proteins are well conserved, but the function of the Ro RNP is not known.
Source: Rfam by way of RNAcentral
GGUUGGUCCAAGUGCAGUGGUGUUUACAACUAAUUGAUCACAACCAGUUACAGAUUCCUUUGUUCCUUCCCCACUCCCACUGCUUCACUGGAGUAGCCUUAA